This 253-nucleotide ribosomal RNA is filed under the name uncultured bacterium. RNAcentral's name for it is "partial 16S ribosomal RNA". It matches the Rfam family "Bacterial small subunit ribosomal RNA", at positions 524 to 776 of the family's 1533-position model. The record is from RNAcentral.
UACGAAGGGGGCUAGCGUUGUUCGGAAUCACUGGGCGUAAAGCGCACGUAGGCGGAUCUUUAAGUCAGGGGUGAAAUCCCGAGGCUCAACCUCGGAACUGCCUUUGAUACUGGGGAUCUCGAGUCCGGGAGAGGUGAGUGGAACUGCGAGUGUAGAGGUGAAAUUCGUAGAUAUUCGCAAGAACACCAGUGGCGAAGGCGGCUCACUGGCUCGGUACUGACGCUGAGGUGCGAAAGCGUGGGGAGCAAACAGG